AGAGUUUGAUCAUGGCUCAGAUUGAACGCUGGCGGCAUGCCUUACACAUGCAAGUCGAACGGUAACGGGCCUUCGGGUGCCGACGAGUGGCGAACGGGUGAGUAAUGCAUCGGAACGUACCUUUCAGUGGGGAUAACGUAGCGAAAGUUACGCUAAUACCGCAUAUUCUGUGAGCAGGAAAGCAGGGGAUCGCAAGACCUUGUGCUGAUUGAGCGGCCGAUGUCAGAUUAGCUAGUUGGUGAGGUAAAGGCUCACCAAGGCGACGAUCUGUAGCGGGUCUGAGAGGAUGAUCCGCCACACUGGAACUGAGACACGGUCCAGACUCCUACGGGAGGCAGCAGUGGGGAAUUUUGGACAAUGGGGGCAACCCUGAUCCAGCCAUGCCGCGUGAGUGAAGAAGGCCUUCGGGUUGUAAAGCUCUUUCGGCCGGGAAGAAAUCGCAUGGGUUAAUACCCUGUGCGGAUGACGGUACCGGCAUAAGAAGCACCGGCUAACUACGUG
RNAcentral lists this ribosomal RNA (501 nucleotides) under uncultured bacterium. RNAcentral describes it as "bacterial SSU rRNA". It matches the Rfam family "Bacterial small subunit ribosomal RNA", at positions 8 to 507 of the family's 1533-position model. The record is from RNAcentral.